This 34507-nucleotide long non-coding RNA is filed under the name Mytilus galloprovincialis (Mediterranean mussel). The record is from RNAcentral. Lineage: Eukaryota; Metazoa; Mollusca; Bivalvia; Mytilida; Mytilidae.
CGCGACGUUAUGUAGUAUGAAGUUUAAAUUUUAAAAUGGGAUAUAAGUGAACGGUUUUAUAGUGAAUAACUCGCAUAUUGACAUUUGACGGAUAUUAAAGACAGUUUGAGGUAAGAACAUGUUUUUUUUCUGUCUUCAGACAAUAGUUUGUCUUUACCAAUUAACUUCUUAAUACUGAACAGUUGAAAGUCAUCUAUAUUUAAAUGAGAUAUGUAAUUUAAUUUUUUUUUCUAAAAGUAAAAGGUCAGGUUUAUGAAAAACUUCGCUAUUAAACUCUCCUUUAAGUUUCAUAACAUCAUUCGGUCAGUCAGAAUUUUUUGCUGAUCGUCGAUUGUUCUCUUCUUUUAUAGAAAAUUUUUAAGGUUCUAUGUAUGAUUCAUUGUUGCAUCCUCAGUGUAUGUCUAUCUAUGUCGAAAAAUCAGUUCCACAACGACACUCUCUAAUUAAUGUAAAUGCAGAGAAAUGUCUAGAAGGUUUUUAGGCUGUAUGGUAUAGUCUAAAAUGUUGAUGUUAGUAAUAAACAAAGCAAUGUCAAUCAACUAACAUAUAUACCAGGAUUUUAAUUGUAUAUUUGCACCAGACGCGCGUUUCGUCUACAAAAGACUCAUCAGUGAAAAUGUUAAAAAGGCCAAAUGAAGUACGAAGUUGAAACGGAAUGAUGAGAUAAAUAAAACAACAGAAACAAUUACAAAUAAAUCUAACACAAAAUAAUAUAUAUAUAUGAAAAUAAGGAUAUGUGGAAUGAUUCCAAAGUUCAAAAGAAGUGGAUGUUUUCAAUUAUAUCCCUAUUGUAUGCCUACUUUGCAAGUACCAUGGAUAGUUGAAGUGGCACUACAAUAUAGAUAGCAAUACCUUAUUUUGAGGGGAAAAGGUCUGUCAAUCUAUUUAUUAUUUACAUUUAGUCUGUACCGCGCGAGAUUUCAAACAUUCCGCAGAGCAGGGUAAAUCUUUUAUAAAAUAAGACCAUCGACAGCCGUUAUGAAUUCGUUACAACUCGCAGAAAUAAAAAAUAAUAUUUUAAGUGUACAGAAAAUAUUUCGAUUGAAAUCAUUUAAAGUUUUCUGAAAUGUUCACGUAACCCAAUACUUCUUUUAAAUACUUAAGGUGCAAUAUAACUGAGGCAUUUAUGUUUAUUCAUGCGGGGACCUUUAACAAAAAUCACAAAAGGCACACAAUGUGUACGUGGUCGAUAGUUUAGUAACGACACUAUUGUUAGGCUAGGAUAUAAUAUUUCAAAAUCGGGUUUCAUAUUUUGUUUUCGUAUUCAUUAUUGAAAUAUGUUAUAAAGUUUUUACUAUUAUAAAAACACAAUAGUAGGAAAUAAUGUGUUUAAUGAUUAUCAAAAAAGCUUCGAUAUUUGGAUAUUUAUUCUAAUUAAAUAUGGAAUGCAGUUUAGUUACUAACAUAUAAAAUCAUUGUGAUUUCUUUUCAUUUGUUUACCCCUGGAAUAUAUCAUAUUAUCUGUUUUUGGAAAACAAACCUUUCAGGAUUUCGUGCCCUGUUUUUGACCUUUUAAUCUUGCAGAUACGAGGUUCACUUAUGAGACUUUUUGUAGACCAGCCCCCCUUCUGAGGUUUUUAUAAAUCUGCAUUAUCUACUGCACAAUAACAAAUUAAGUAGUUGUUAUAAUUCAAGAAAUAUAAAUGACUAUUGAGUAGACACGUUUUAAUUUUCUCGUACAAAACAGUAAAAUAGUCUACUUACUAGUUACUAGUUAUUUCGGGGCCUUUUAUAGCGGUAUGGGCUUUGCUCAUUGUUGAAGACCCUACGGUGACACAUAGUUGUUAAUUUCUGCGUCAUAUGGUCUCUUGUGGAGAGUUGUCUCUUUGGCAAUCAUACCACAUCUUCUUUUUUAUAUGACAUGGAAUAUAUAUUGUUGAUAGUCAGUUGUAUCAUGUUACAUGCCAUUCAAUCCUUAUAUAUACGAUAAAUAUUCUGUGUAAUACGUUUUGUAGAUAUCAAAAUGAAUAAAACGUUGUCGUAAACACUCAAGCUUUAAUUAUUUAACCUAGACUAGAAAGGACUAUUUCACGUAAGACUACAGUUUACAAAACAUUAUAUCGUAGCUCUUAUUUUUAGUUGAUGUUUGUAUUUCUUACCUCUAACCUUUUAUUUCACCUUAUCUUGUUUUUCAUAUGAAUCAAAGAUCACAAUUAUUUAAACAACAUGUUACAUUUGCUUCAUGCUUUUCAAUAUAAAUUCCCCCUUUUUUUGUUUACCAAACCUGACCAGAAGCAUAAGAUAAAAUUACCUCCAACACACUGGACCAGUUAAUGGGUUAUUUUUAUAUAUUAUUUUCACAUUUACAAUGUGUGUCGAAUAAUAAACUUCAUGGUUCAGGUCUAUCGUUAUAAAGACUCUGUAUAGUGUUAAUAAACAGGUGAAUACAGAGAGAGGGAUACUACAGACCUAGCCAAAGCCAAGUUUUUAAAUUUGGUUAAUAUGGCAUAUUUGCUUUUCUUUUUGAAUGGUUCCUAACUUUUUAAGAAUUUGGAUAUUUAUUAGUUUGAAAUAUUACGUUGCCAUCUAUCUAUUGUUGAAGAAUGUUUAAUUAAUCUAGACAUAUUGUUGCUUCUGUCGGCGGUUUUGUUCCUCAAUAAUGUACACUCAACUCUUACUUUAUUACAUGUCGAUCUUAACAGUUAAACUGAAUAAAGGGUUGACAGCUGCAUUGCAAUGCUAAUUCAUAUGAUCGAUAACGAAAGAAUAUUUAUUACUCAAAUAGUAUUUACAAAAUGAUUGCCGGCAAAGGUUAAGAAGUAAGCUCCUCAAAUUGCUAAAACUUGUUAUCGCUAGCAUAUAAUUAGGAAAUGCAACCAGAAUGAAAUGUUCAUAAAUAGUAUGACAAGUCUGUUUACACAUGUAACUACACAUACUAUACUUCUUUUAAAUACUUUCGGUACAAUAUAACAAAGAUCCAUGUUUGUUUAUUUAAGAGUAAAAUUUUAAAUAAAUAGACAAAUCGCGUGUUUUUCAUUGAUUGCUACUUAGUAACUAGACGCUACAUUGGGUACAAUAACCUUUUAAAUGGAAUGUAAAUGAANNNNNNNNNNNNNNNNNNNNNNNNNNNNNNNNNNNNNNNNNNNNNNNNNNNNNNNNNNNNNNNNNNNNNNNNNNNNNNNNNNNNNNNNNNNNNNNNNNNNNNNNNNNNNNNNNNNNNNNNNNNNNNNNNNNNNNNNNNNNNNNNNNNNNNNNNNNNNNNNNNNNNNNNNNNNNNNNNNNNNNNNNNNNNNNNNNNNNNNNNNNNNNNNNNNNNNNNNNNNNNNNNNNNNNNNNNNNNNNNNNNNNNNNNNNNNNNNNNNNNNNNNNNNNNNNNNNNNNNNNNNNNNNNNNNNNNNNNNNNNNNNNNNNNNNNNNNNNNNNNNNNNNNNNNNNNNNNNNNNNNNNNNNNNNNNNNNNNNNNNNNNNNNNNNNNNNNNNNNNNNNNNNNNNNNNNNNNNNNNNNNNNNNNNNNNNNNNNNNNNNNNNNNNNNNNNNNNNNNNNNNNNNNNNNNNNNNNNNNNNNNNNNNNNNNNNNNNNNNNNNNNNNNNNNNNNNNNNNNNNNNNNNNNNNNNNNNNNNNNNNNNNNNNNNNNNNNNNNNNNNNNNNNNNNNNNNNNNNNNNNNNNNNNNNNNNNNNNNNNNNNNNNNNNNNNNNNNNNNNNNNNNNNNNNNNNNNNNNNNNNNNNNNNNNNNNNNNNNNNNNNNNNNNNNNNNNNNNNNNNNNNNNNNNNNNNNNNNNNNNNNNNNNNNNNNNNNNNNNNNNNNNNNNNNNNNNNNNNNNNNNNNNNNNNNNNNNNNNNNNNNNNNNNNNNNNNNNNNNNNNNNNNNNNNNNNNNNNNNNNNNNNNNNNNNNNNNNNNNNNNNNNNNNNNNNNNNNNNNNNNNNNNNNNNNNNNNNNNNNNNNNNNNNNNNNNNNNNNNNNNNNNNNNNNNNNNNNNNNNNNNNNNNNNNNNNNNNNNNNNNNNNNNNNNNNNNNNNNNNNNNNNNNNNNNNNNNNNNNNNNNNNNNNNNNNNNNNNNNNNNNNNNNNNNNNNNNNNNNNNNNNNNNNNNNNNNNNNNNNNNNNNNNNNNNNNNNNNNNNNNNNNNNNNNNNNNNNNNNNNNNNNNNNNNNNNNNNNNNNNNNNNNNNNNNNNNNNNNNNNNNNNNNNNNNNNNNNNNNNNNNNNNNNNNNNNNNNNNNNNNNNNNNNNNNNNNNNNNNNNNNNNNNNNNNNNNNNNNNNNNNNNNNNNNNNNNNNNNNNNNNNNNNNNNNNNNNNNNNNNNNNNNNNNNNNNNNNNNNNNNNNNNNNNNNNNNNNNNNNNNNNNNNNNNNNNNNNNNNNNNNNNNNNNNNNNNNNNNNNNNNNNNNNNNNNNNNNNNNNNNNNNNNNNCUGGCCUCCGGCCAUCGGAGUGAUCUUACACUGACACACCGAGUCCUCAUGGGAAAACUAUUAUUGAUAGAUCAAUUUGAGCUUUUAAAGUGGCAUGUGUGAUAUUAGGUUCAAAUAGAAGCAAACAAGAAGUUAAAUGAUUUACCUUGCAGGUUGUUAAUCUUGCAAAAAACACCAACGUCAUGAAGUUGAUGGAAAAGUUAAACUUGAUUUUACAAAUUAAUUAAUAUCUAACUUAAAUGUCAUGUUUGCACUCAAUAGAAGUACAUUCAAUUUGUAUUGUUGAAAACAAAUUAAGAUUUUGUAGCACUACAACUUAUAGUAUAUAUAGUUGUGAAAUACAAAAUGUAUAUUAUAAUGAUACAAUUUAGAUGCCAAAUAAAUAGAAUACAAAUACACACUACUUUAUAUAACUGACACAAUUUAAAGGAAUACUCUCUAAACUAUAUAGUAGAGAAGCGAAACGUUUCUUUUGAAUACUAAAAAAACUUCCUAACAGUACAUGUUUUUUUUAAUGGUUUUACAUGCGGCGCUCAAAUAUUUUGCAUGGUUUUUGGUAUAGUGUUUAGACAUAUAUGAUAUUGUAAGAACCUUUAACGUAUAAUAGAUUCACAUUCGUUACUUUGCUCAAUAUAAAAAAAACAUAAGCAUUAAUUUAUAUUAAAAACUGAAGGUCAGACAUUACUAAUACGUGUUCAUUCAUUCUUUAUUAAAGUUUAGACCUUUUUAUCAAGAAUGAUGAUGAGAGUAAUUGUAAAAUAUAAUAGGCAUGUACUUUCUUACGUUAUGGAUCAUUGAUUGUGUUACCUGUUGACCCGGUUGAUUACUAAUACGUGCCAUUGAACUCGACCGUUUUAAAUCAACGCCAAUAUAUAUAUAUAUAUACAAAGGAAGGAAGGCGAGGGAAGAACCAAAAUUUGCGAAAGCAAAUUUACAGAUCUAAAUUGUUGGGUUGAUGUUUAGACGAGUUGUAUAUAUAUACAAAGUAUAUACAAAGUACUAUAUACAUAUUAUAUGGAUAAGAAAAUAAACUAUUAUAAGGAUAUAUUGUUUGAAUGAAAAUUUUUAUACGGUGAUACUUUAACACCGUCCCGACAGAGACUGAAUGCAGUAUAUGAUCAGGUUUCGGGAUCCGGGAAGUCUUUUUUCGAAUUUCCGAAUGUCGGGAAUAUUUUUUUCCAACUUUAAUAGAGUAACUCGCACGAAAAAAAAUAAACAUACCAAAAAAGCAACAGCUUCAACGGUAAACUAGGACAUAUAUCAACAGAAAACGAAUUAAAGAAACUGUCAUGCAUAAAACAAAAAUAUGCAUGACUGUGUUAAUUUGCCUCCGCUGCAUUUCUGUGGAUUGUCUCAUUGGCAAUCAUACCACAUCUCCUUAACUUUUUUAGGUUACGUUUAGGAUUUUACGUUACUAAUCUUCAAAUACAAAAAACAUUUUUACCGGUGUUCACAACAUUUCAAGGUUAAAUUUAUGGCAUACAUUCUGGUGUGUAUACAAUUAACGUACGUCCUUGCAUUUAAUUAUCAAUAUAUAUUUAUAUAAACUAACAUUUAUUAAAAAAAUAAACAACAUAUAUAUAUAUAUAUAUAUAUAGACGAAUAAUUUAUUAUUUCCUCAACAAAAAAAGAAAAGAAAUAAAGAAUUAACACAAGAUUUAAUCUUUUUUUUUUUAAUUAAUCAAAAUAUACUUCAAAUUCUAAUAAUAAAAUACAUAUAUACAUGUAUUAAUCUAAAAUGCAUUAUCGAGUAGAAGGGGCGGCAACUCGUGGUAUCAAACCGGUAUACUGAACGGAUCAAAACAGGGUCUGAAAAUUUUGAAUGUUCUUUUGUAUCCAUGGUCUGUUUUGGUCUGACACGGUCUUAACGGGUCUAAACAACCCGCUCGACGAUUCAGUCUUUUCCGUCUUGACACGCCUUAACGAACUGAUUUACCUGAUGAGGCUAUCGAUCUGAACGGCGACUUAACUAUCUUAAAUAUCUUGACGAUUUUUUCUAGCGGUAAAUCCAGUCAAUCAAGAUGUGAUCAGAACAAAAUGACCGUUUCAGACUGAAAUCGUGCUACUAGUGUGAGGAGCCAUAACACAAACAAUAGGGUGAAUUAACCUUUUAAAUAUGUGGUUAUAUUUCACGUGACAAUAGGUGUAUUUAUAUAAUAAUGUUGUGUUUAACAUUGACUAUGCGAAUAUAGUAGCCAGGAUGAGAGAUAAUAAUGCAUGACCCGAAGGGGAGUGAACUAUUGUCUCUCACCCUGGCUACUAUAUUCCAUAGUCAAUGUUAAACACAACAUUAAUAUCAUUAUUAUACUGACUGUUUACUAUUUCAAAUAGUGCUAAUUGUGUAUUGCUAUGUAAAAAAAUGCUUUCUAGUAUCAUGAGUAUGACAAGAAGCCCUUUAUGUAACUCUGAAUAUAUGUAUGCUGUCUUAAAGAAAGUUGAUUUUGUCUACUUGACUGUUAGAAAGAGUUACAAAUAAAUAGAUUCAAAAGUAUGUGUUUUGACAUGAAAUUGUUGAUUUGAACUAUAUCUGAAUAUAAAUCAUUCUUGACUAGUUAAACAAGUAGAAUUCUGCUUUAGCUGGUUCUAGAGGUUGUCUUAAACUUGCUAUGAGGUACCUAUAUUUUGCUCAUUGUUGAAGGCCUGAACUCAUGUUGAAUUCAAGAUGAAAAAUUACCACACACAGGCUUUGUGUCAUAGCUUUUAUAGUCCGGUGAUGUUUUGGAUUUUGUCUAAACAAUGUUUACUCCACAACCCGUCCAUUUUAUUCUCAUUAACAUUUUCUAUAGUACUCAAUAACUUACAACUUAAUGUGAUCAUAACUAUUUAUCUGUAACAAAUGACUUCUAAAGUAUUCAAACAAUUUUAACUUCAACGGCAAUAAGCAGAAGUAAACAAAGAACAAACACGUUCUAAUAGAAACUAUAGUAUUUUAAAGUCUCUUAAAAUGUCAGAAAAUUUAAAUGAUAACUUCAAUUUCUCCCUUAUUGUUCAAUUGUAAUAGUUAGUUAAUUGUCAGGCUUAUAAAUUCCAACCCACUUGUCUGUCAAUGCAACUAAGCUCCAGCGUGCACGUGAAAUAGGAAAUGAUUGACGUAAAAAUCAAUAGUCUGUUGCAACAACAAGGCAUACUAUUUUCGCAUAGUGCAGUUAACACUAUAUAUUUCUUUUAAAACUUUAUCAUUGAGGGACAUUCGUACAGGAAGUAUAAUAAUGCUUAGUAAUGUCCUCCGACUAAAUAUUGCGUAUGGAUCAUAUUUAUAUCACAGGUAAACUUGUGUCGAAACGGUAGUAAACACAUUUUGUAGUGCACAGCAAUACAUUUGUUUUGUGGUUAUUUGAAAAAUACUCAACUUUUCGAUCUCUCAUGUGCGUAUCAAAAAUUUAAUCUUAUAGCUGUUUUUUUACAACAUUCACAACACAACCUGAAAACUGCUUGUGAACAUCUUCUUAUGUAAUUGAUAAUAUGUAGAAAGUUAUGAGUAAAACAAUCAUUUAAAUGUUCACAAGGUAAAAGGUUUUUAUUUUCGGCUGCUGUUUAUAUGUCUCGUUUUUCCGUUCAAUCCAUCCACUAACAGUACCUUUAUAUUUGAUGUUUUUGAAAAUUUGUCUAAAAAUGUUUCUAUGUGUCGCUAUAGCUUCACUGGAAUAUUUAACUGAAAGUGAUAAUCUAUAGAGGUUGUCCUUUCCAACAGUGCAUAGUAGGAGUUUGUCAAAAAUUGGCAAAAUAUCCACAUCGUCUUCUAUUCUAUCCUUAUCCAAAUCAUCACAGUUGGUUAAUUCUUUUUCGUAUUUAGAUUUUUUUUUCAUAUUCUUCAUCUUUUUUAGUCAUAUUCUUCAUUGUUCGUGAUACUAGCAUUUAACAAUAACCCCGCCCUCUAUAUAAACUUUCAGUAUUUACUGUUAGUGACACUGCAUUGUGGUAAAUUGUUUUUUGAACAGUAGGUAUAAUAUCACAACUUGUUUAGUUUUUUGUACUUCUUUAAAAACGAAGAAUAAUCAAUUAUGGUAGUGUUUGUUCAAUCGUUCCUACACCAAGUAAUUUGUCUCGUAAUUUUGUUUUUGUUUCUUAAAAUAUCAAUAUCUCACAUGAUAUAAGACAUUUUAGAUUUGUUACUGGUUUAUCAAAUUUUUUGGAUGAUUUGGUGUUAUAUUUUGUAUCUAGCAGUUACCAAAUGUUGUUGAAAUCACUUUCUAGGAUAAAUUGCCCAAGGUAUUAAUUAAAAAAAACAUUUGUAUUGUUUUAAAAAAAGCUAUAUCUUUAUAUCAAUCUGUUUGGAGCAUAGAUAUUAAAAGGUUUUUUUUCCUGAUUGUCCCACUUUUAAAAAAUUUUGAGUUCUGAUUGUCCCACAUGAAAAGUUCAUAUUGUCCCACAUUUUUUAUGAAGUAAAAUGUUCUUAGAUAAACAAGGUAACUGUUGUUUGUUUUGCUAAAUAAACAAAAAAUAAUUUUGGCAUAUCUAAUUUUAAUUUUAUAAAAGAAUAUAUAUAAAUGUUUUUUUUAAAUCAUUAGUAUCUGAAUAAAAAAAAGGAUAAUAUUUCUGAUUUAUGAAAUAUAUCUACAAUGUUAUUUGUAAAAACGAAUGAAAAUAGCACUAAAUUCUUAUUACUUUAUUUGUAAUGUUUUUUUCCAAAAAAUAUAGAAAUAAUGCAUGCAAUUUAAAAACCAAAGGCUCUAUAGAGCCGGUAUGGCUCACCUGACUCUACUUUGGUUUUUAAAAUCAUACAAAAAAAAAAAUAUUUAACUACAAAGUAACAACACUUGGCCAGCACCUUAUUAGGAAAGGAACAUUUAUGCUAUGUUUGGUUUCAUUUAAUUGAGUGGUUCUCUAGAAGAAGAAUUUUGUAUGUAUUUCCCAGCAUGUCCUAUGUUAGUGUUGAAGUGUUGAAAUAGUACACUUAAGAAUUAAUUAUCUAUAAAAAUUAUUAGAAAAAGGCUUAUAUCUCAUCAGAUGGAUACAUAAAUACAUUUUACAAAACUUGAUAGAGUGGACACAACAAAGACAGAUCUGAGCUUACUCGCAGUUAUUGACAGCUCGUUAACAAAAAUAUGCAUCUAAAUCCAAAUUCAUCAUGUCUAUAUUAUAUUCCAUGUUUGAUGUUACUUCAAUAGUACAUACUGAAAUUUCAAAAAAAAUUGCGAAACUGCGACAGGGUUAAAACAGCAAUAAUUUAAACUCGUAUUUUGAAUUUGUUGAUAUGAAGCAAACAGGAUUUUUCUCGAUAUUGCAAAAAUUAAAAUCGUAUUUUAGUCUAAAAUAACAAAAUCAAUACACACUAAUUUCCUGAUUUGCUAUGUGAAAAAUAAAAUAUGUAAAUAUUAUCAUUUUAUCAUUUUUUCCAUCAUAUAUUUUUAUUAACCAUUUAUUUCUAUAUUCCUCUCAAAUCGAAUAAAUUCUUUGUUUUAUGAUAUAAAGUGAUGUAAAAAUUCAUGAAAACUACAUUUAGUCUAUGUUUCUAUUUAAAAUUAAAAUAACUCUAUUAAGUAAUUUUAUUAUUUUUAGAAAAAAAAAUUACUUAUAUAAGUAACUUAAAAAAAUAACUUGUUUAAGUAACGCCCCUGACUGUUGAUGAGUAACCUUUAAUUAACUUCAAAAUACUAUAAAAACAAAUUAAUCGCUACCAAAACAAUUCCCAAUUGUCCCACAUUUAAACUUCCCAAUUGUCCUAAAGGCACAUUCUCGAUUGUCCCACAAAAUUUCAUUACUUUUUUACCUGUAAUUUCCAAAAGUGGGACAAUCGGGAAGACACAAUAUUGGAUAAUGUGUAAACAUUUUCUUAUUUUCAAUAUAUAUCAUAAUAACUCUUUCUUCUUAAUCUUUAUGUGCAUCUAUGUAUUUAAAUGUGGUUAUAUCUUUUAUCCAUAUUGUCACUUCAUGUGAAUUGCUUGUCCCAUCACUUCUAAAAAGAUUUUCUUCAAAUUCUUUUUAUAAUGUGAACAUCAAUAUAUUUUAAUUAAUAAAAUAUCAAUUUUAUGUUAAUUUGACCAGCUUACAUUUUACUAUAUGUUUUUCCAGGUUGUUGCAGGCCAUUGUAAUUGACCGUGCUUAUAUGUAGAUUGGUUUUGAUUUUGGAUUACUUGAAAACUCUUGAUUGAAUAUUUUAUAUGGUAAGUACCAUUUUCUAUUCAUAAUUUUGAAAAUAUUUUGCAUAUACUAUGUGUCUUUAGAAUCUGACAUACAGUGUUUUUUUAAUUUUUAUUUUUAAAACUAAGCAGUCGGUUUUUAGAUCCCAGUAUAUAACAAAUUUUGUAUUCUAAAUGUGUUUGUCCUUAUUAACAGUUAUGUAUGUUCUAUAUUUUGACCUGCUCCUAUUAAUAGCAUUUCUGUUUAUUAUGAUAUUUAACAUUCAACCUGUAUUUGAUGAAUGAUGUAUGUGUUACACUCGUUAGGACUUAUUUUAUAAGAUUAAAUGAACAACAAUGUAAAAUACUUAUCAGUAGAUCUUUUCGUAGGAUCCAAGGAUUUUGAUUAUAAAAUAAACGAAAAUUUGAUCACACUACCUACCACCAGAUAAUAUAUAUGUCUCUGGUGGUAACAGAUAUAAAAAUAUCAAUGUAUUACAACAUACAUGUACACAUUGAAUUCGUACGACAAAACCAUGCGAUGUUUAGUUGACUAUUUUUUCUAAAGCACUCACGUGAAAAAAAAUCAUGUAUUCAAAGGUUUGUAUUUUAAGUAAAAUAUCGAAAACCAUUGUCUUUUUCUGAAAUAAAACCAGAGUAUAUGCCUGAAAACGAUAUUGUUGUUCUGUACUAUAGCCAAAUGGUAUGACUGACCAUCGUAUUGUAUUUAUUUAAUGAAACCAAAUGAUCUUGCUGGGUCUUGUUGCUCUGCCAUUAAAUAAUGAUCUGCCUAACCUUCGUCUUGUACUUCUGGAAUAAUACCGACUAACCUACCUGACCAUAGUCUAGUUGUUCUGUCAUAAAACUUAAUUAUGUGCCUGACAAUCAUCUUGUUGUUCAUUUUUCUAAAAAAAAUUCUAUCAAAACUUUUAAUUUUUCAACCCUGUAUACCACCAUUCCCCAUGUGAAAUUGAAAAAUCGUCUAAAAGAAAUAAUCCACAAUGCUUUCCAGCAUAAAAAUGGUAGCAUAUGCUAUAAAUUUAUUACUGUGGGAUACCAUAUGGCAUAUUUGUUUAAAGUGAACAAAAAUGUAAAACAUUGCACACAGAGGAACAAGUGAUCAGUAUGCUGGAAUUUCUGAUUGACAACAUAUUUGUUGAAUUUGGAGGUAGACUUUUUCAACAAAUUGUCGGCAUUCCUAUGGGAACGAACUGUGUACCUCUUCUUAUUUUCUUAUGAGUCGGAGUUCCUUCAGACACUUGUCAAAAAAAAAGAAGAUCAAAGAAGCCAGGUAAUUUAAUUUAUGCACCAAAGUAACCCUUAUUGACAGAUAUAUUGAUAAUGUUCUUUUCAAUAACAAUCCAAACUUGUCUGAUUGGGUUCCAGUAAUAUAUCCCCCAGAACUAGAAAUUAAAGAAACAACAGAUACGGCUUACUCUGCCUUAAUUUUAGACUUAUACCUCGAAUUGAACAUACACGGUCAUCUUGCAGUUCCAAACCUUUCUCUGUCGCCCGAUGCUGAUCAUUGCUUCGCUGGUGUUAACUGUGUCCGUCUUCCUACGAAAAUCAUCGCUAUUUUAUUUAAAUUUAAAUUUUAAUAAAUGAACGUUCAAGAUAUUUCCUACAGUGCCAACGCCCCAACGAUGAGUAAUCACUACCUCCUACCGCAGCGAUCGAUCAGAGGGUUGAUCAUUGGGAAAUCGGGCUGUGGUAAGACGACGCUGCUGAACAACCUUUUUCUGUGCCAUGGAUGGCUCCGACUACAAUCGAUUGUACGUCUUCGGACGUAUUUCGAUAUUAAGGUCCUUCUUUACAUCUCUAAUAUGCGUUGCGGAACAUGUUGAUUAUAUACGUUUUGUUCCUCUUUCGAUAAGGUUUCGAAUGAGGUAUAAGGUAUAUCUAUAAUUAGGGACUAAAGGUCUCAGCAGUGCAUUCCAUUAUUCAAAAUAUCUAUUUCAUUAUUCAAAAUUGGCUAUAUCUUAAUUUUCACUCGUAUUUUGGCAUUUAGGUCCUCCGUAACGCCUCUAAUGGUCAUUGCAGCACAUAUCUUUUAUACUCAGUGUAUUCCUCUGUCAAUAAGGGUUACUUCGGUGCAUAAUUUUUUCCUUAAAUAGGACCUGACGAGUUGCAGCAGUCCAUUGCAUUGUUCAAAAUCAACUAUUUCUCAAUGCUCAAGCGUAUUUCGAUAUGUAAGUACAUAUUUUUGUGACAGCGUAAAGUUACAUAUUUCUGUGACAGCGUACAAUUACAUAUUUCUGUAACAGCGUAAAAUUACAUAUUUCUGUGACAGCGUAAAGUUACAUAUUUCUGUGACAGCAGAAAGUUACAUAUUUUUGUAACAGGGUAAAGUUACAUAUUUCUGUGACAGGGUAAAGUUACAUAUUUCUGUGAUAGUGUAAAGUUUCUUAUUUCUGUAACAGCGUAAAGUUACAUAUUUAUGGGACAGCGGAAAGUUACAUAUUUCUGUGACAGCGUAAAGUUACAUAUUUCUGUCACAGCAGAAAGUUACCUUUUUUUGUGACACCGCAAAGUUACAUAUUUCUGUGACAGGGUAAAGUUACAAAUUUCUGUGACAGGGUAAAGUUACAUAUUUCUGUGACAGCGCAAAGUUACAUAUUUCUGUGACAGGGUAAAGUUACAUUUUUCUGUGACAGGAUUGAGUUCUGUGACAGCGUAAAGUUACAUAUUUUUGUGACAGUUUAAAGCUACAUAUUUUUGUGACAGCGUUAAGUUUCAUGUUUCUGUGACAGCGUAAAUUUACAUAUUUCUGUGACAGGGUAAAGUAAUAUAUUUGUGUGACAGUGUAAAGUUACACAUUUCUGUGACAGUUUAAAGUUACAUAUUUAUGUGACAGCGUAAAGUUGCAUAUUUCUGUGAUAGUGUAAAGUUUCAUAUUUCUGUGACAGGGUAAAGUUACAUAUUUCUGUGAUAGAGUAAAGUUAUAUAUUUCUGUAACAGCGUAAAGUUAUAUAUUUGUGUGCCAGCGUAAAGUUAUAUAUUUCUGUGACAGCGUAAAGUUACAUAUUUAUGUGACAGCGUAAAGUUGCAUAUUUCUGUGAUAGUGUAAAGUUUCAUAUUUCUGUGACAGGGUAAAGUUACAUAUUUCUGUGACACCGUAAAGUUACAUAUUUCUAUGACAGCGUAAAGUUACAUAUUUCUGUGACAGCGUAAAGUUACAUAUUACUGUGACAGGGUAAAGUUACAUAUUUCUGUGACAGGGUAAAGUUACAUGUUUCUGUGACAGGGUAAGGUUACAUAUUUCUGUGACAGGGUAAAGUUACAUAUUUCUGUGACAGGGUGAAGUUAUAUAUUUCUGUGACAGGGUAAGGUUACAUAUUACUGUGACAGCGUAAAGUUACAUAUUUCUGUGGCAGGGUAAAGUUACAUAUUUCUGUGACAGGGUAAGGUUACAUAUUUCUGUGACAGGGUAAAGUUACAUAUUUCUGUGACAGGGUAAAGUUACAUAUUUCUGGGACAGGGUAAGUUUUUUGUAACAUUGUUUUUUACUGUGUUAGACACCUUAGAAUGUACUUGCCCGUGCUGAGACCUGGUCAAGUAACUGUGAAGUUUUUGAUUUGUUUAUCUGUGUCAUUAUAUGAGGGUGUGGAUGGGGAUCCCGGUUCAUUUGACAGAUGCUACAUAUGUUUUUGAUAUUGUGUAUUUACAAAUUUCUGUGUCAGGGUAAAGUUACAUAUUUUUGUGACAUGGACAGUUUCCUAGAUUUGUGACAUUGUUUUUUUACUGUUUUUAUAGAGACCUUAUAAUUUACUUGCCCGUGCUGAGACCUGGUCAAGUAACUGUGAAGUUUUUGAUUUGUUUAUCUGUGUCAUUAUACGUCUUUGAAAAUGUUUAGAAUCGCCCUUAAAUGGGCACAAUCAGUGUUUCACAUUGCUCCGAGUUGUCUUUGAAAAUGUUUAGAAUCGCCCUUAAAUGGGCCCAAUCAGUGUUUCAAACUGAUCAGAUCUCUCAAUCUAAUCCGAUUUUCUUUAAAACUGGUCCGAGUUUUCCUGGUCCGACUUGUCCCAAUCCCGUCAUUGAGUGUCUCGUUUUCACAAAAACUUCAUGCUCUUCUAAUUAUGACAUAGUACCACGAUAUGUGAUGAUGCAAUACAAUACAGGUAUUAACCUUUAACUAUAUAUAAACAAUACCAAUGUUGUGUAAAACAAAUACAUUUUAAUAUUUGCUAUAAACUAAAAGUUAUUUCCCGCAGCUAGAUUCUUUUAAACUUUUGGUACGGCAAGCUAUUGUAUAUAGAAUCCAAGUAAAUAAUUUAAUAUUUGGCGCAACAUUAUGCAUGCCAAUUGCGGAAAAUCUUGCAUGGUUAAUCAUACGAUAGCAAUUUGCUUUAAAGAAAUCAAGUCCGACAGAGAAGAAAGACGGGCUGAAAGUUUUCGUUUUUAUUUUGCCACGCUUUAAUCCGCGAUAUUUAAAUACUACUGUACACAAAACAAUAAAUCAAUUUGUUCAAAUGAAAACAUCCUACGAGUACUUUAUCAGAAAAUAUAUCAAAAAGUUUGCAAUUGCGUUUGAAACUGUAAGUAGGAAACAACCCUAACCCUGUAUCAGUUCAUAAUUAUAUCACUCACUUUAAAAAAAGUGGGGUAUACUGUUUUUUACCUCUGUCUGCCCGUUAGUCCAUCCAUCCGUCAGUCCGUCCGGUCGUCCCAUGAAUAUUUUCGUCGCAUUUUUCUCAGGAACUACAUUACAAAGAUUUCUGAAAUUUGGUUCCAGGGUUUAUAUGAGUCAGUUAUAUUGUGUGAUGCGUUUUCAGAUUUAUCACUCAACAACUUCCUGUUUACCGAUAUAUUUCGGCGGGGUUGCAUCAGUAAGCAGUUGCUCAAAGUUUCACUUGUUUUUGACAUUUACUAAAAUCUACUAAAAUUGCCAAAAUCGCCUAUAGAGGUCCCGGUCACUCAUCUUUCAAGUGGAAAGGGGUUGGAAUUAACUCGGCACAAAAACUAGAAUAAACCAACAUUUCGGUUCUUUGGCCAGGUUGUUGUCUUUUUGACAGAUUCUGCAUUUCCUUUCUCAAUUUUUAUCUUAAUGUUUGUUUUACAUUUUCUAAAAGUAAACAAAAUAUAGGUGUUCUGCUUCCAUUCGAAAAAAAUUCUUUUAUUCUAAAAUGGUCAAUGUAGUAGGCAAUGAAUAACAGAACAACAAAGAAUAGAAGAAAAUCAUCAGUAAUCAUUAGAAAAUAAAAGAUGCUAGAUGCUUGAGCUAAUUCGAAAAAUGAUUUAAAAUUUUGGAUGCAUACACGAUAUUGUUUAAGCUGGUUAAUCACUGUAACAAUGUUAUCAAAUAUAUGUAUACAAUUUAAUGGUCGCAGUUCUAUUUCUUUUGUAUUAUUAUUUUUUUAUUAUGAAUAAAAUGAGAUGUGGGAUAUUGUUGGACUUAAAUUGAGUUGUUAACUUUGUUGAAAUAGCUGUAUCACACGUCGUGUAAAUCUCUAAAUUCACGCAUAUAUAAGGGUAACAAUUCAAUAAUAAACUUUCAAUGGUAUUUUUUAACGCCAUUUAAAAUCAGAAAGAGAAACAAAGGAAAUUUAGCAAUGUUGCGUUAAUUUUCAAAAAAGAUAAUGCUGGAUAUAAUACAAUGAUCUUUAAACAUGUGACAAGGACUAAUUGAGGCAGUACAAGCUGAAACAAAACAUAUAAUUAGAUCACAUCAAAUAAUCUUGUUGUUCUUAAUAUUUUUUCAAUCUUGAAAUGUCAUACUUUAGAUGUUAAAAAAAAAAUUAUUUUACUUUUACAUAAUAUUGAAAUUUUCAAGUUGACUUCGAAUCAAAUUUCUCUGAUAAGGGAUAUCCAGGCGAAACUUAUUAUAGUAAUACAUAAAGAUAGUUUGUAUUUAUGACGAACACAGUCGGAUUGAGAUUUUGCACUCGAGAUAUAUUUUUAACAAUUUUUUAAUAAAGUUUUUAAAUGUUAUUUUUCGUUUUAAUCAUUUUAAGUUUAACGUGCAUUUUAGUUUGUUUUGUAAACAUGCACAUGCGUAUAUAUUUAUUACAAGAAAUAUAUCUGAAACGGAUGAAAUGGCACACGCAUCUGCAGUUUUCAUUUAAUAAUAACAUUGAAGAUAAUACAUGUAGAAAUAACUUUAACGUUUUAGUAUGGCUAAAAUAACUAGAGAUUGUUGUUGUCUUUUUGUAUGUAUCAACCAAUUUGAACAGGAUGAAAUAAUAAGGCACAUACUCUCUAUUCCUGAACUAUCGAAUGAAGGCAAAGAAAUGUAUUUAUUGAGUAAAUUAAAAUAUAAAGGCGUAGAUAAAUCCCGUUCUAGAUACAGAGAGUGAAAGCAAACCAAAUUUUACAUAUACUUUUGACGACAGAUAAGUAUGUCGAGAUACAUUUCUGUUAUCUAUAGUAUUCGAGAGCCCAGUUUAAAAUCUUUGAUUAAACACAUCAACAGUAAUAAAUACACACAGAAAGUAUAAAAAAUUUAAUAUUCGUCCGAAAAAUACAUUUUCAUUUUAGGGGAUUUCAAAUAUGGUACCGUAGAAUAUUUGAAAAAUUAUGCUUGUCUGCAUGGUUUAUACCACAAACAGUACCUCCUAACAAACAUGACCCUGAACUGAACCUCAGAUAGUGUUAUCUUCUUGUUAAUGAAAACAGUCGGGUUUUGACACAUAUGUAUCAGCAUUUCAGACAAAUGGAACUGUAUGUAGAAAUAAAAUGAUGUGGUAUGAGUGCCAAUGAAACAACUGGUAAUCCAAGUCAUGAUUUAAAAAAGUAAAUCCUUAUAGGUCAAAGUAAGGUCUUCAACAGGGAGCCUUUAUAGACUAGAUUUGUCCACUUAACAGAAUGGACAAAUGUCUGGACGUCUUGUUGUCCGCACAUAAUUUUUGCAUCUAUUAUAUUCUGAUGUGUGUCGUACUCGUAACUUGGACUCUUGGACUGUAUAAUAGUCCCAGGUCCUAGUAACACAUGUAUAGGCCUUCAAAAUUGAGACAAAACAUACCGUAUCGUCGGCUUUAAAAGAUUCCGAUAUGAAAAAUAUGAAACAAUUAAAUUGAUUACAGCCAAUUCCAUUAAGUGUGUAGGCAAAGGUAAUAUAUUUGGUUAGCUAAGGUAUACUACCAUCCUUUCGAAGUAGCCUAGUCUUACAGACAGAUAGAUUGGGUUAUCUGUCUAAUGAGUCUCAGUCUACUGUAAAAUGAGGGUAGUUUACCUGACCUAAUAAUGACUUAAUGGUAAAGCUAGCAAGCAAGCUAACCAAAGAUAUUACCUUUGCCUUCACACUCAAUAGAAUCGGCGGUAUUAAACGCCCUAUUGGCAAAAUAUAUUCCACUCCUUUAGAUUAAAUGUUCAAAACACUGACCUUACACGACAAAUUCCCACAAUGAGCCCCUUUGAUCUAAAGGAGUAGGUUCAGUAAGACCCCUUUUUGGCCCAAAAAUAUAGCAGUUUUAGAAAAAUGUGAAAAUGUAAUCUUUAAGCUAUAUUUUGGAAAGUAAAAUGCCUCUGCUACAUAAAAAUGAGCUGUGUUUUGACAAUACAAUGCACAAAUAUCGCGUUCUAGCAUCAUUAAGUCAUGCUAAAUUACUGAAAUCUUCAAAAUUUUACACUUUUGGUUAAAUUUUAGACGGUUUCCGUCUAAAAUGAAAGUGACCGCAUUCGUGUUCAUUCAUAAUAUUGAAAUGUAAGUUGUAUUUGAUAUAAUACAAAACAUAUAUAAAGGUUUAGGAUGAACACGGAUGCGGCCACUUUCAUUUUUGACAAAAAACAUCUAAAAAGUGACGUUUUUUGGCAUAUUUAAUAGAUUUGUCACAUUUAAGCUUGAAUCAGAGCGUUUUUAAUGACUAAAUCAGUAAAUCUUCACAUUAAUAAUCGAAUCAUUGAAAUAGACACUUAAGUGUUGAAAAAGUGUCUAAAAACUUUCGUUAGAUGAACCUGAAAUUUGAGGCCAAAAUCGCCUCUUACCGGAUCUUCUCCUUUCAUUUUGAAUUUAAUUGUCAAUUGGAUUUUGAAUGGCCAAACUGUUUUAACUGGCAAUAUGAAUUGAUUCAAUCUGAACCCGAGAAAGAUUGAAUAAGAGUAAGAAUUAGUCAAGUUGAUCCUUAAUAUCAAAUAAAUACAAACAGACACCACGCGUGAAAUCAUAAAUCAUUAACAGAAAACUCAGAUGACCAUGACUUAGAAACAAAUGAGUGAAUCAAAAAAUAGCACAAAAAUUUGAAAAUUGAGCAACACUAACCCCAUGAAAAACAGAUAGUGCCCUGGAAGAAUCAGGAGUUCACACUUCAGUGUUUUUUUCUUUAAUAUAUUUAAGAGAAAAAUAAAUGAAAUCGCUACCAAAAUAAAAAGAAUUCUUUUAUAUUUGAAAUCCAACAAAUGAAAGUCUUUAUUGUUCUGUUAAUGAAGGAGAACAACAAUCGAUAUAAGACUGACUAUCUUGCUUUGUGUGUGCUAACUGGACGAUAUUAGAAAAAUAAGCCUUUGGUCAUACUUUAAACGUUGGUAGAUUUUGUCUAGCUAAAAAAAAUACUGACGGUCAAAAUUUGAUACUGUAUUUCAUGUAGCAGAAUUCUUCCGAAAAUCAUCAUCAAUAAAAUAAGUCGUUUAACAGUGUAAGCAAAAGAACGAUGAAACUAUGUACUCAGUAAUGGAGAGAUUAGAAACCAAUUCUAUCUGCUUUGAUUAAACCUAAUCUACGGUAUCAGAAAAAAACCAUUAAUUCCUCGUGGAAAAAAAAGAAUGCACAAAAUAAAAAGAAAUAGAUACUCUCCAUUGUCCUUUAUAAUAGUUCGAUAUAUUGGCUCGUCCUGUAGUUAUUCCUACAGCCGGAAUUGCACGUGUUAGGUAGGAACAUCUAUAUUAAAAAAAUCGUCCAUAUGCUAGGAAGGAAUAUCAGGCUAUAUUUUGCCAAGCACCAGGAGAAGAGUAAACUAGUAAAUUGCAGCACACUUAAAUCGACGUUAACGUUUAAUGAUUCCAAGGUUGCAUUGCUUUUACGUUAGAACACAUUUUCAUGAGUAACCAAAAUUGAAAUUUCUCAACUAGUUUUUCACCGAUUGUUUUCAAUUUUUUUACAUUGAGUUGGCAUUAGUAUUUUCUGUCUAAUUAAUAACAAAUCUGAUACUUCAUAAUUUUUGCCAUAAGGGUCGUUUUUGCUUGUUGGGCGUCAUAUAUAUAUGCUAAUGGAAUUUUUUUUGCUGAUAUAUAAGUUUUGAAUAUCCAAUUUGCAAAAAUCUACUGUACAAUGCCGUGAAUGGAUAAAAAUUGUUAAGUUUAUGAAUUCAUUGUUAUUGCAGCAAACUCUGAAUUUGUAAGGCAUACUAGGGCUAGCAGGUAGUCUAGUUCUAUGGGCUAGUAAAAUCUUGCAACCAAUUGACCCUGGGCUCUCUACUGUAAGCUAUAACAAAAUUUCUUAACCCCUGUUUAAAGCUGGCUGUUUAAGUCUUAAAAUUUUAAUUACUUUUUAAUAGUUUUUGAAGACUUUAACUUGUCAAUAAUAAAGCUAUGAAAAGUCGAGAGAAAAUAUUUUCCCGUCAAAAUUUCAAUGGCUUAUAUAUCGAAAACGAGCACGGCGACCUAUAUAUUUUUUUUUUGCUCUAUGGAUUCCUUUAUUAAUCCCCUAUCAAUAUAAACUAAUUUUGAAAAGUUUUUACUUUGAAACUGAGAAGCGAACUCCCUUAAAAAAUAGCUACCCUAAAGAUUUUAUUGCCAUUUUUCAUUAAGCCACUGUUAAAGUCAGAAUGUGCGCCAUCGACUCCAUGUAAAAAAAACUAAAAUAAAAAAAUCCCUACCUACCUACCCUAACUUUCUAGCUCACCUGCACCUGAAACUACGGGGCCAAAUUAAACCAAACUUGACCACAAUCCUCAUUGGGGUAUCUAGUUUAAAAAAUGUGUCCAGUGACUCGGCCAACCAACCAAAAUGGCCGCCAUGCUAAAAAUAGAACAUGGGUAAAAUGCAGUUUUUGGCUAUAAUUCAAAAAUCAAGCAUUUAGAGUAAAUCUAGAGGAAAAAUUGUUUAUAGGUCAAGAUCUAUCUGCCCUGAAAUUGUCAGAUGAAUCGGAAACACUCUGUGUUGGGUUCUGCCCCUGAAUGGUAAUUCUAAGGAAAUUUUACUGUUUUUGGUUAUUAUCUUGAAAUAAUUAUAGAUAGAAGAUAAAAUAAACAGCAAAAUGUUCAGCAAACUAAGAUUUACAAAUAAGUCAAGUGACCGAAAUGGUCAGUUGACCCAUAUAGGAGUUAUGCCCUUUAGUCAUUUUAACCAUUUUCGUAAAUCUAGUAAUCUUUUACAAAAUCUUCUACUCUGAACUACUGGGCCAAAUUUAUCCAAACUUGGCCACAAUCAUCAUUGGGUAUCUUGUUUAAAAAUUGUCCGGUGACCCGGCCACCAACAAAGAUGGCCGCCAAGGCUAAAAAUAGAACAUAGGGGUAAAUUGCAGUUUUUGGCUUAUAACUCAAAAAACCAAAGCAUUAAAGAGCAAAUCUGAAAUAGGUGAAAUUGUUUAUCAGGUCAAGAUCUAUCUUGCCCUGAAAUUUUCAGAUGAAUCAGACAACCCGUUUGUUGGGUUGCUGCCCCUGAAUUGGUAAUUUUAAGGAAAUUUUGCUGUUUUUGGUUAUUAUCUUGAAUAUUAUUAUAGAUAGAUAAACUGUAAACAGCAAUUAUGUUCAGCAAAGUAAGAUUUACAAAUAAGUCAACAUGACCGAAAUGGUCAGUUGACCCCUUUAGGAGUUAUUGCCCUUUAUAGUCAAUUUUUAACCAUUUUCGUAAAUCUUAGUAAUCGUUUACAAAAAUCUUUCUCCUCUGAAACUACUGGGCCAAAUUAAUCCAAAACUUGGCCACAAUCAUCUUUGGGGUAUCUAGUUUAAAAAUGUGUCCGUGACUCGGCCAACCAACCAAGAUGGCCGCCAUGGCUAAAAAUAGAACAUUAGGGGUAAAAUGCAGUUUUUGGCUUAUAACUCAAAAACCAAAGCAUUUAGAGCAAAUCUGACAUGGGUAAAUUGUUUAUCAGGUCAAGAUCUAUCUGCCCUGAAAUUUUCAGAUGAAUCGGACAACCUGUUGUUGGGUUGCUGCCCCUGAAUUGGUAAUUUUAAGGAAAUUUUACUGUUUUUUGGUUAUUAUCUUGAAAUAUUAUUAUAGAUAGAGAUAAACUGUAAACAGCAAUAAUGUUCAGCAAAGUAAGAUCUACAAAUAAGUCAACAUGACCAAAAUUGUCAGUUGACCCAUUUAGGAGUUAUUGCCCUUUAUAGUCAAUUUUUAACCAUUUUUUCGUAAAAUCUUAGUAAUCUUUUACAAAAAUCUUCUCCUCUGAAACUACUGGGCCAAAUUAAUUCCAAACUUGGCCACAAUCAUCAUUGGGUAUCUAGUUUAAAAAAUUGUGUCCGAUGACCCGGCCAAACCUAACAAGAUGGCCGCCAGGCUAAAAAUAGAACAUAGGGGUAAAAUGCAGUUUUUGGCUUAUAACUCAAAAACCAAAGCAUUAGAGAAAAUCUGACAUGGGGUAAAAAUUGUUUAUCAGGUCAAGAUCUAUCUGCCCUGAAAUUUUCAGAUGAAUCGGACAACCCGUUGUUGGGUUGCUGCCCCUGAAUUGGUAAUUUUAAGGAAAUUUUUGCUGUUUUUUGGUUAUUAUCUUGAAUAUUAUUAUAGAUAUAGAUAAACUGUAAAACAGCAAUAAUGUACAGCAAAGUAAGAUCUACAAAUAAGUCAACAUGACCAAAAUGGUCAAUUGACCCCUAAGGAGUUAUUGCCCUUUAUAGUCAAUUUUAAACAAUUUUCACAAAAAUUUGUAAAUUUUUUACUAACAUUUUCCACUGAAACUACUGGUCAAGUUCAUUAUAGAUAGAGAUAAUUGUAAAGCAGCAAGAAUGUUCAGUAAAGUAAGAUCUACAAAACACAUCACCAUCACCAAACACAAUUUUGUCAUGAAUCCAUCUGCUUCCUUUGUUUAAUCAUGUUAAUAGUCACAUAGACCAAGGUGAGCGACACAGGCUCUUUAGAGCCUCUAGUUUUCAGAUGUAACUGGAACCACACAUACUUUUUUAUUUGGCCUAAUUAUGAUUUCUGGCAAGGCUAUUUUAUUUUUUUUCUGGGACACCUUCCUAUGAAUUUUCUGGGACGCCUUCCUAUGUAUGUCGUAGGAAGGCGUCCCAGAAAAAAAAAUGAAAAAUAGCCUUGCCAGACGUCAUAAUUAUUUGGACUAGUCAGCAUGGUCAGGAAUUACCAUUAAUUGGUGGAAUAUACCUCAAAUCUGAUACUAUCAUAAUUAAGAUUGCUCAAAUAGACUAGGGUUCGGUUAAGUAUUCAUUUUGGGGUGAACUAGAUAUAAAACCCGAAGUCAUUUGAGCAAAUGUAACCUGAUAAAAUUGAUUCUCCAUCAAUGUUUUUGUCGAUAUAUUUUUUUUUUACAUAUAUAUUUCUCUUCUCCAUGUAUCAAGUAAAUAUUUCGUCCAAUUCGACAAAAUAUGACAAUGUCCUACUAACAGUACUACAGUUCGGCAAAGAAUGACAGGAUAACUCACCUUGUCUAUUCUCGCGAGAUCUCAUUUAAGAUAUGAUACUAUCAUAAUUAAGAUUGCUCAAAUAACUAGGGUUGUUAAGUAUUGGGAGGAGUAGAUAUAAAACACAGUCAUACUUCACCUGAACAAUGGAAGUUACUAUACAGAAACAAAACAAACCUUUAAGACUUCCCAAAACUCAUCCCAAAACUCAAACCUUAAAAUAAAUCCAUAUGCUGUCAGGCAGCUUUGAAAGCAGAAAGUUAAGCCUGAUGAUACAUUUUUUGUACAUAUACUGGUCCCAGGGGACGUACUUAACUUACAAGGUGCAAUUAUUCAAUUUACACAUCGUAAAGUCUCACUGUGAACUUAAGAUGAAGAAUGACAAUCAAGCGCCAUCGCAUUUGAUCUUGUUUAAAUCUAAUUCAAAAAUGAUUUGUCGAACAUUGUGAAUUGUCAUAAAUAUGAUAAACUCCCUUUAUAUACACAUUAGUGACACGAAUUAAGAGAACUGUUAAAACUUCUAACAAUACAAUUGAAAGAUGAUAGAUGAACUUCAAGACAAAUGGGGUGUGAACGGAACUACAUGUAGUGUCGAUGUGGUAUCCGUGUACUAUGGACACUGGGAUUCUUGUUUCCACAUGUUUACUUAUUUUAAUAUAUAUGCAAUUGGUAUGACCCCUUAAAUAUUUAACAUUUCAAAGAAAACAGUAGUCAGAAUACAUAGAGACUUUAUAUUAAAGCAGUAUAAUCGUUGUUUACAUGUACAUGAUGUAGAUAAACGCGAAAAAUAAUUGUCCUCUCUAACAUGUCUAAGGAGGUAUAAUAGUUGUGGUUCUUGCGAUCUAAACACCAUGAUAUGGAGAACGCUCUGGUUGGCUUUUUUAUUUUUCAUUUUUGAUAUCUAUCAUACGAUUGGUAGUACGUGUGCAUAUUUCAAACAGGAAGUCUCAUCUAUGACUAAAGGUCAGUCUGAUGACGGAAUCAUAUCCGGACUCUUUUUUUUUUUGUCGUUUUUGUCCAAAAUUAUCUCAAUCUGACACAGAGGAAUAAUGAUUAAUUUAUUGUGGAAGGAAGAGAAGCGACACACAAAAUGAGGUCUUCUCGUUUCAUAGUAUACAUUUUUGAAGAUUCACUCUUAAAGUCUUUGCAUUGGAAGCUCAAAUUUGAUAGUUGAAAUUGUUCUAAUUCAACGCCACAAUUCAGCACCCAAAGUUCAGAUAUAAAAAAUGCCACAUUUUUUUUAUUUGGUAUCAUAUGGCUUUGAAACUUUGUAAACUGUUUUAUAAUAUACUAAGCUUAAAUCAUGCCAAGUUUUAUCAGAAUUUGUCAAGUUUUAGGCCCCUAAUAGGCCCAAGACAACAAUUAAUGACCCCGCUUUUCGUUCUCCACGAAAUAUAUAGUUCCUUUUAAUUAGAGUGUAUUUUUCCUUAUUUUUUUUCUUUCCCUUCCUCACUCAUUUCUUAGAUUUUUUUUGGGUGGAAAUGAAAGAAGAGAGAGGUGAAAUAAAUUUUUGGAUGUUGUAUUUAAACUGAUUUUGAUAUGGAAUGAGUGAUUAGGCCAAGUGCAAAAAGGUAAUAUUUACAGUUUUUGGAACAUCUCUUGACUUGUCAAUAGGGGUAUGGAUGUGUAUUAGCUAAAUUUGUAAAAGUGAUUGGUUCAAUCUUUCUGAAUUUUAGAUAUAUAUUUGGACUACAAAACGGACUAGGACUAUACAUUACACACACAAAAAAAUUGACAAAAGUGCAUGGUGCAAUUUUUUUAAUGAUGCAAAACGUUAUAAAGAACUGAUAGAGGAAUUAAUUGUGGUCUGUGGCCUGAUAAUAGAACCAUGCAAUUUAACGUCUCGGGUGUUUUCCUAUAGUAAUAAUAGAACCAUGCGGUCUAUCUGAUAAUCCGAAAAACGUAAUUAACCCUCAUUCAUGAUAUAUUUUUUUUAUAAACAUCUUUAAAUUUGUGAAAUUUGGCUAGUACAGACGAGAUUUAACUCUUAUAAUAAUCUCAUUUAGUUUAGCUUGGUAUUAUUUCGAUUGAAGAACCCCAAAGACUUUUUAGGAAUAUAGUUUUUGUCUCCAUAAAGACGAUUAACUGUCCUUGUCAUUUUUUGGUCUUUGGCUUGUUUUGACAUUUUGUAAACAUGACUUCAGCGAUUUGUUGUUUUGUUCUAUGAAUUAAUGGUACUCUAUACUGUUAUUCUUGUCACCGUGAUGAAGUUAUAAUAAUACAAGAAGUGCAGAGGAACUGCAUGAAAUGUCCUCUGAUACAGAACGUCUGGAAUAAGUAUGAUAUCGACAAAGACCCAAAUUUAAAAAUGUACAAAAAAAAACAUUAACAUGAACAAGGCAACAGUACCAGUUUAAACAUAGUAAAUAAAAGUUAACUUAAAUAUUGUUGGGGUUGGAAGAAGUUAUUGUAUAUAUAUUCAUUGAAAUUGAAAUUACAAAAUCACAGGAACAAUAUCCAUGAUUUUAUUUAAAAUCAUAAAAGUAAGUACCAACACCUUUUUGCAAAAAUAUACUGAUACUUUUUUGUCGAGCCUGCAACUUUUGUUGCAGAAAGCUCGACAUAGGGAUAGUGAUCCGGCGGCGGCGGCGGUGUUAGCUAACUUCUUAAAAGCUUUAUAUUUUAGAAGGUGGAAGACCUGGAUGCUUCAUACUUUUGUAUAUAGAUACCUCAUGUUACGAAGUUUCCGUCAGUCACAUGUCCAAUGUCCUUGACCUCAUUUUCAUGGUUCAGUGACCACUUGAAAAAAAAGUUAAGAUUUUUUGUAAUGUUGAAUUCUCUCUUAUUAUAAGUAAUAGGAUAACUAUAUUUGAUAUGUGCGUACCUUGAAAGGUCCUCAUGUCUGUCAGACAGUUUUCACUUGACCUCGACCUCAUUUCAUGGAUCAGUGAACAAGGUUAAGUUUUGGUGGUCAAGUCCAUAUCUCAGAUACUACAAGCAAUAGGACUAGUAUAUUCGGUGUAUGGAAGGACUGUAAGGUGUACAUGUCCAACUGGCAGGUGUCAUCUGACCUCGACCUCAUUUUCAUGGUUCAGUGGUUAUAGUUAAAUUUUUGUGUUUUGGUCUGUUUUCCUCAUACUAUAUGCAAUAGGUCUACUAUAUUUGUUGUAUGGAAUGAUUGUAAGGUGUACCUAUCUAGCGGGCAGAUGUCAUGUGACCUUGACCUCAUUUUCAUGGUUCAGUGGUCAAAGUUAAGUUUUUGAGUUUUGGUCUUUUUAUCUAAUACUAUAUAUGCAUAUAGGUCAUCUAUAUUUGGUGUAUGGAAAUAUUUUAUGAUCUUUAUGUCAGUCGUGCAGGUUUUAUUUGACCGUGACCUCAUUUUCACGGUUCAUUGCACAGUGUUAAGUUUCUGUGUUUUGGUCUAUUUUUCUUAAACUAUAAGUAAUAGGUCAACUAUAUAUGUUGUAUAGAAGCAUUGUUAGCUGUACAUGUCUGCCUGGCAUAGUUCAUCUGACCUUGACCUCAUUUUCAAGGUUCAUUGGUCUUUGUUUAGUUAUCUUGGUUAAUGUUAAGUUUAUGUGACAGUUGUAUUAAAGCUUAGCUUUAUACUUAGGACUAUCAACAUAAUAUCAAUGAUUAGUAUAGAAGGUGAGACAUUUCAGCGUGUGCACUCUUGUUUAUUUUUUACAGAAGUCAAUUCAAAUGGCCCAUUAUUUUUUAAAAUGGCCCAUUGAAUUUAUUUUCGAGGGGCCCUGGGACCAUAGUGAAAAAAACCUUCCAGAUCACUGGGUAAUCACAUUUUUAACCCUUGUACCAGAUCACUUUAUGUAAUCUUUUUCCCACCAUUUUAAGGCUUGUGCAGUUUGCAGGCUGUUGUAAAUGAUGUCAGUAACCAUGGUAACACAAUUUAUUUUGCACGUCUAGUAUAUCAAAUGGUCGUCUCCUUAGAUAAAUGUGAUUAUCAAAAUAAAUUUCAUCUAGGCUACAUGUAUAUGUUAUUACAUUUUAAUAAUGUAUCACUAAUCAUAUAGAUGUGGGGUAAUUGGUUUUUAUCUUCAGAAAAUUUGAAUUAGUUGUGAUAACAAUGUUAAUCAGUUGUUUAACAAAAACACUGUAAUACAUAUAACAAAUAGACAGGUACAUGUAGGUGAACCAUAGGCUUCACUCUUCGAAUUACAGAAUUCCCCGUAUCUAGCCCCUCCUUUACUCUAGCAAUCUGAAACAUGAAUUAGAUAUCACAUGGCUGUCUUGUGUACAAGUACAUACCACAAAAUACGCACCUGCAAUCAAGAAAUUUUGAUUAGAUAAGUACACAUUGUUCUUUAUAAAAUCUGAAUUACGAGGGAACUGUAUGACCUUCACUGUAUUGUCAGUGAAUUACGAGGGAACUGUAUGACCUUCACUGUAUUGUCAGUGAAUUACGAGGGAACUGUAUGACCUUCACUGUAUUGUCAGUGAAUUACGAGGGAACUGUAUGACCUUCACUGUAUUGUCAGUGAAUUACGAGGGAACUGUAUGACCUUCACUGUAUUGUCAUGUCAGUGAAUUACGAGGGAACUGUAUGACCUUCACUGUAUUGUCAGUGAAUUACGAGGGAACUGUAUGAACCUUCACUGUAUUGUAUUGUCAGUGAAUUACGAGGGAACUGUAUGACCUUCACUGUAUUGUAUUGUCAGUGAAUUACGAGGGAACUGUAUGACCUUCACUGUAUUGUCAGCGAAUUACGAGGGAACUGUAUGACCUUCACUGUAUGAAUUACGAGGGAACUGUAUGACCUUCACUGUGUAUUGUCAGUGAAUUACGAGGGAACUGUAUGACCUUCACUGUAUUGUAUUGUCAGUGAAUUACGAGGGAACUGUAUGACCUUCACUGUAUUGUCAGUGAAUUACGAGGGAACUGUAUGACCUUCACUGUAUUGUAUUGUCAGUGAAUUACGAGGGAACUGUAUGACCUUCUGUACUGUAUUGUCAGUGAAUUACGAGGGGAACUGUAUGACCUUAACUGCACUGUAUUGUCAGUGAAUUACGAGGGAACUGUAUGACCUUCACUGUAUUGUAUUGUCAGUGAAUUACGAGGGAACUGUAUGACCUUCACUGUAUUGUAUUGUCAGUGAAUUACGAGGGAACUGUAUGACCUUCACUGUAAUCUGAAUUACGAGGGAACUGUAUGACCUUCACUGUAUUGUCAGUGAAUUACGAGGGAACUGUAUGACCUUCACUGUAUUGUAUUGUCAGUGAAUUACGAGGGAACUGUAUGACCUUCACUGUAUGUCAGCGAAUUACGAGGGAACUGUAUGACCUUCACUGUAUUGUAUUGUCAGUGAAUUACGAGGGAACUGUAUGACCUUCACUGUAUUGUAUUGUCAGUGAAUUACGAGGGAACUGUAUGACCUUCACUGUAUUGUAUUGUCAGUGAAUUACGAGGGAACUGUAUGACCUUCACUGUAUUGUCAGCGAAUUACGAGGGAACUGUAUGACCUUCACUGUAUUGUAUUUGUCAUGUGAAUUACGAGGGAACUGUAUGACCUUCACUGUAUUGUAUUGUCAGUGAAUUACGAGGGAACUGUAUGAUCUUCACUGUAUUGUCAGUGAAUACAUAUAUAUCAUGAUCAUGUACAUGCAAAAUAGUGAAUACAUAUAUAUCAUGAUCAUGUAUAUGCAAACAUUCCAUUUUAUAAUAUUGGACCCAGGAUUUUGUUGGGUUUGUUUACAGGUUUACAUCUGUUUAUAAAUAAACUCAUCAAAGAUACCAGGAUUGAAAUUUUGUAUUUGUGCCAGACGCGCGUUUCGUCUACAAAAGACUCAUCAGUGACACUCAAAUAAAAAAAAAGUUAAAAAGGCCAAAUAAAGUACGAAGAUUAAGACCAUUGCAUGUUGAAGACCAAAAAUUCAUAAAAGUUUUGCCAAAUACAGCUAAGGUAAUCUAUUCCUGAGGUAGAAAAGCCUUAGUAUUUCAAAAAUUCAAAGUUUUGUAAACAAUUAUAGUUAUGACCAUAUCAAUGAUAAUUUACAUGUUUAACAUUUUAUAUUAAUCUUUAUUUGCAGAUUCUUAUCAGGCUAAUUGACAGGUGGCAGAAGGGGUAAAAAUGUAUAUAAUAUAAAGUGACAUUAAGGCCAUGAAGACAGACUGUACAAUAACAUGCUGAAAGUGCAAUAAGAGUUUGACGAAGGCCCACGUGUAAUCCCUUAUUGACAAUUGCAGAACUCUGGCCAACAGAUUUCACAUUGGGUAUUUAACAUGUUUAAUCAUAUUGAUAAUAAGACAGAGGCUUUACUUAAACAAGUUUCUUUCAAAACAACCUAAAGGCAAAGUACUGUACACAAUUAACUACUUCAGAGAAUUGUUUAUGCCCCGGCCGUAACGAAGGGGGCAUUAAGUUUUAUCCUUGACGAAGGCCCACGUGUAAUCCAUUAUUGACAAUUGCAGAACUCUGGCCAACAGAUUUCACAUUGGGUAUUUAACAUGUUUAAUCAUAUUGAUAAUUAGACAGAGGCUUUACUUAAACAAGUUUCUUUCAAAACAACAAUUAUAAGGCAAAGUGUACACAAUUAACUACUCCACAGAUUUUUUUAUGCCCUGGCCAUGAAGACAGACUACAAUAAUAUGCGGAAGUUGCAAUAAGAGUUUGACGAAGGCCCACGUGUAAUCAAUUAUUGACAAUUGCAGAACUCAGAGAUUUCACAUUGGGUAUUUAACAUGUUUAAUCAUAUUGAUAAUUAGACAGAGGCUUUACUUAAACAAAUUUCUUUCAAAACAACAAUUAUAAGGCAAAGUGUACACAAUUAACUACUUCACAGAAUUUUUUAUGCCCCGGCCAUAACGGAGGGGGCAUUAAGUUUUACCCUUGUCUGUCUGUACGUACGUACGUCCGUACGUCCCAAAGUUUGCUUCUGUUCUCUUACUUUAGUUUGCCUCAACCAAAUGUUAUGAAACUUAUACACAAUGCUUAUUACCACAAAACACAAAUCAAGUUUGAAUUUUGGUGGUGUCACUUAAACCAAUCUAGAGUUAUGCCCCUUUACCAAUGAAAAAAUUGCUGAAUUUUUCAUUUCCGUUCUCUUACUUUAGUUUGCCUCAACCAAAUGUUAUGACAUUUAUACACUAUGCUUAUUACCACAAAAUACAGAUCAAGUUUAAAUUUUAGGGGUGUCAAUAUUACUGUUCUACAGUUAUGCCCCUUUUAUAGCGUUAUAUGAUAUGCAAGCGGGGGUAUCAUCUGUGUCCCAUGGACACAUUCCCCAUUUAUUUAAUUAUCACAUAUUACUUGUCGCUUCUUGUCGCUAAAAAAAUCUUCUUGUCGCUUCUUGAUGCUUCUUAUCGCUAACAUUAUUCUUGUCGCUAAUUAGUGAGACCGGGCGGCGCUGAUGUUUGUCACUUUUUUUUGUGACAAGUUUUGUUUUUAUAAAAAACUUGUCGUGAACCUUUCAUUUAGAAUCAAAAUUGUGCUUACAAUGUAAAUAGGUCAGGAAUUACCAUUAAUUGGUGGAAUUUACAUUAAAUCAGGUAUAAUCUACCAUUUGACAUAUAUAAUCAUGGUAGUGACCACUUAGCAGGGUUGGCAAAGUAGUACCCGCCCGGGUUUUCCUGGGCUGGGAAAUACUCCCUGAAACGGGUAAUACUUGGCAAUAUGAUUUUUUAAACUUAUUUCAAAACAAAAUAGUAAAGACUUGUAGUUUCAUAGUAUUAUAGCUAAAUAUAUACAUGUUAUACAUAUAACCAUUGAGAGUAUUUUCUAGAAGAUUACAAAUUCAAUUUCAUUCUCUUCUCCACAUAAUUUCUAUGUAGGCAAAAUACAAGAUUUGCACAUUUAAGGAUUAUUAAUUUCCAAGCAUUGAUAUGCAAUCAUGAUUGCUAAAUAAACACCCUACAGGGUCUUGCCAUUAACUCUUAUAGACAUGAAAAGACUGAUUAUUGUUAUAAAUAAACAUAUCUGUGUUCUAAUCUGAAUAAUUUACUCAUUAAUUAGUUUUGUACAUUUGUACAUAUAAAUUAUUUAAAAGUAAUUUUUCUUACAUUUUCAUGUCAUCGUUAAAUUCUUUGUACUAGUUAAAUGUAGAUGAAAUUUUUUUUUUAUCAGAGUUAUUAGAAUAAUUCUUUCUCAAAUGUAUACACUUGUAAUUUUGUAUGUAUAUAUUAUAAGACUGUCAAACAAGUAAACUUGUUUAUAUAUAUCUUAAGGGGGUUCGCGGGUCUAAAUCAUUUAUAUAGGAUUUCUCUAUAUUUUUCGAUAAAUGAACUUUAUCUUAUAGUUAAUAGAAAAAUAAAAUAAAAAAAUGGGGUCACCGUUCAUUUGCGCUCACAAUUUGCCUUCGAAAGAAGCAUACAUCUUUGUAAAAGUGUUUUUUUUCUGUUGAACUAAUAGGAGAAAUAAAGGUAAUAUCGAAAUAAAAAAAAGAAAUUUAUUACAGAAAUCGCUCAAAUUUUACAAUGAUUUAGUUUAAGUACAGCAUAUAUCGAAAUUAUAUUAAAAAAUAUAGGUCACCGAUGAGUUAAAAGAGAUAUUUCAAUUUUAAAGCCAAAAAAUGGCAUUUUUCCACCAAAGGGAGAUAAUUUGGAACUUUUUCAAUGAUGUUUACAUUUUAAAAGUCAUCUGGGUCCAACACUAAUUACUUGUGUCAAAUGUUUUUUGUACCAUAUGAUAAAGUAACUCUACAAAAGGUAAUAAAUAAAAUUUGUAAUGAAAAACAAAUGUUUAAUUUUUUUCUUAAAUUUUUAUACCCUCGAGCCUCCUUAAAUGUAUUGUAUUUGUGUUUGAUUACUGAAUUAUCUAUAAAAUUCAAGCCAGUAUACUAUAUAACCCAGUAAAACUCAGUAAAACCCGGGUUUUCCCAGUUUUUCCCCCUUGGAUGGGCAAUACUAAUAAAACCCGGGUAUUUGCAAACCCUGCCACUUAAAGAUGACAUGUUAUUGAUUCUGACACUUCGUGCUGCAAUUUGUUAGAGGAACCUAAAAACUAAUGUAAUCCUCCUUUUCCUUCUGAUAAAUUCUGUCGGUUUUCAUCUAUUAAAUCUUAUUUGUGUUCUGUAGUCUCUUCCUGUCCAUUUGGCUAAUUAAAAUGAAUUGAUAAAUAUUCAUCCCUGCCCGCCCCUCUGAAAUCGUCCCGUCCCGAUCGCAAAACCCUGAAAAUACCAUUAUCCGACCCCAGAAUCUGAUCCGGUAUUGUAAUUGUCUUCAUUUCCAGUUGAUGGCAUCCAUUGUUUUUUAAUGUUGUUUUGUCAGUCAGAUACGAUUUACUCUUCUUUGCUAGCCAAGGGUUACGAUCUACUCCCCUUCUCUUCACCCUUGACCAGUCAGGGGUACUACUUGUAUAAGUAAUUUUUAUUUACUUGAAGAAGUAAACAAAAAGAUACUUAUAUAAGUAAAUUAUAAUGUUUGAAAAAUCUCCCCUUAAUUUUCUCAAAAAUUUACUUAUACAGUAAUUUUUUUUACAAUCUCACCAAAAUUCUCAAGUUUUGAGAUGUAAAAUUAUGACUUUAAUGAUUUUUCCCAGGUUAGUUCAUAAUUUUUUUAAAAGAGUUCAAUGUUUCAUCUCUAUUAAUUCAACGAAGAAACUGAUUGCGUAAAGAUCUUAAGUAUUUGCACAAAGCUUUCAAAUUGCUCCUUUGAGACUAAUCAACUAAUAGAAGUUCGAGUGUAUGUUUCAUGCACAAAUGCAUGAAUGUUGACGUAUAUUUUUGUUUCCGGCUUUACCAAGUGUGUAGAAUCUAGACGCUACUGUGUUUUUACCUCCAAAUUGAAGAGUUCAAGUGCUACCAUUGGUAUAUCAUUUUCAUUAUUAACAGUCAGGGGACUUACUUAAAUGAGUGAUUUUAUAAAUCACUGGUUUAAGUAACAUUAUUUCCAUAAAAGUUUGAAGUAAGAGUUGUCUUUAUUGAAUAAUCACCUAUUUAAGUAGUACAAAUUAAUCACUAGAAAAAUAUAGAAUACAAAUGAUCCAGGGACUAAUUAUUUUUCUAAACUUAUCAGAACCAACAUCUGUGUUGUCUAGGAUGACCAGGUCAUUUCAGGUGAUGACCUUGUACUGAAUAUAGGAUAAUGACAUUAAAAUCACUUGUUUAAGUAUCAUACCUCAAUUUCCUCCUCAAAAAUCACUUAUUUAAGUAUUAUUUUAAUAACCCCCACUAAUUUCAACACCCCCGAACAGUGAAAUUUUUAUCGCGAACAGUAGAAUUUUAUUGCAUAAUCUGAAAGAUGAAACCUUGAACUUUACAGGAAAAAUACUCCCACUGCUGUGAAAAAUCUGUUAAGAAAGUAUCAGUUCAUUAUAUAUGUAAAGCCAUUAUUGUAGCAUUUUUUCAACUAAAAUAUAAUUUUCAGCUAAAUGAUAGCACCAAAGGCAUAAACCUUGCUACUUAAAAGAAGCAAAAAGUUCAUUUUUUUUCAAUUUUACUAAUUAAAAGAUAUAUUUAAACCUAUGUGUUUAAAAUUUUGAAAAAAAACUACAAAAUCCCAAUUUGUGACAAAACUUUGAAUUUGCUACUCAAAUAAGUGAUUUAAAAAUCACUUAUUUCAGUAAGUCCCCUGACUGUAUUAAUUUAAAAAUGUAGUUUCAAUAAAUAUUAAGGAGGAAGCUUGAUGGUUCGUGGCAUUCCCUCUUAAUUAGAAAAUAAUCUAUUAUAAAUAUUCAAUCAGAACCCAAAUUCAGAGCUGUUUUAAGCUUGAAUGUUGUGUCCAUACUUGUUCAACUGUUCAGGGUUUGACCUAUGCAGGAAAAUCUGGUUUGCUGUCACUUGACAGCCUCUUGUCCUUAUUGUUGAAGGCCGUACCAUUGCCUAUAAUUGCUUACAUCCACUUCAUUUGAACUUAAGUUGAUAGUUGUCUCAUUGGUAAUCAUAUUCCUUAUUUUUAUAAAUAUACAAUGAUUUCAUUUUCUUUUACAGGAUAUAAUGGCAAGUUGGGAUGAGGUAAGUUUUUCUUCUUAAAAGUCAGUGUCAUCUGACCUACAUGUAUAUCAUGUGACAUAUGUUGUCUAUAAACUGUAUAUAAAGAUACAGGCGUGCAGUAUUCUCAGGGGGAGAACAGGAGAAAUCAAAAUGACUACAGUGAACAGAAUUUCAAUAUACAAAAUUCCAGGAGACAAAAAAAAAGAAACGUAAGAUAUUGUAGGACAUUCACAACUCUUUAAGUCGAAGAGAAUCUGACAUCGCCAUGGAAAAAAAUGAAAAACAAUCAAAAUUCAACAGUCUACAUUAGUCAUUUCAGGGCCUUUUAUAGCUGACUAUGCCAUAUGGGCUUUGAUCAUUGUUGAAGGCUGUACGGUGACCUAUAGUUGUUAUUUUCUGUGUCAUUUGGUCUAUUUUGUAUAAUUGUCUCAUUGGCAAUCAUACCACAUCUUCUUUUUAUAUUCAAAACAUUACAUAGAAAACUAAAGACCGAGCAACACAAACCUCAACAAAAACUUAGGCUGAUCUCAAAACUGAUGCAUAAUACAAUUGUCUACAGACUUUUCUAAAAAAAACUCUGAAAUUAUAGACAACAAUUUCACUCCUUCUUGGUAAUCACUGUUUUUGGUAUAAACUGUUGAAACUGUAAAAAUGUAGCUUGUUAAAUUCAAUUAUUACAUUUAUAAUAUAUUUGUAUGUUCUAGAGGAAAAUGUAAAAGCUUUGUUUUGCUUACAGAAACUUCUUACAGCUGCAGAGCAGGGGAAUUUAAAAGAGGUAGAAUUAUGUGUAAAGAACAGAGCUAACUUGGAAUGUAGAGAUUCUG